ACUCAAGGAAAUAAAAUCUCAAGGCAGAUGAGCUCAAGGAGCAUACUUGAUGCAGCUUUUUAAUAUUCAGUUUAUCCCAAGUCCCAAUGACUUCUACGAUGAUGAACGGGGAAUUUUCCUAAAGUAAUCAGGGUCCUGUGAGUUGUUUUCCUGCACGCUGGUAGCUGUGAUGGACAGAAAUACAGCCACAAAGCCGCUGAGGCUGGGAGAAGCUGCCUGCAGGGCACACGCUGUGCCAAGGCACCUGGAGUGUAACCAGCACAAAGGCCCUGGAAAGUUAAGUGUGGCUCCACUUUGCAGGCAGGAAAAUGGAACUUCACAGCACUUAGUAGACACAUUGCUAGCAAAUGACACUCAUACUCUACAGUACCUCGCUAGUUUUCUGUAUCUCCUGGAUCUUAUUUGAUACAUUAGAACUCGAAAUAAUGAAAACAAAUGAGAUUUCCCAGGCACCCCCCCCAACAUCCCAUAUUUAUCUGGAUUUUAUUUAUUCCUUUCAACUUGUAUUUUACUUGAAGCUCACCAUCAUAAUAUUUUCCUACUUCUUUUUCAUUGUUUGAUGUUUCUAGAUAUUUCUAAUAUUACUGCAUAUUCUAGAUAUGAACUAUUAGACUUUGUAAGGCAUUCUAUUUUGCUUUAUAAGAUCUUUUAAAAACAGGAAGGAAGGAGUUCCCGUUGGGGCACAGCGGAAACAAACCUGACUAGUAUCCAUGAGGAUGCUGGUUGGAUCCCUGGCCUCACCCAGUGGGUUAAAGAUCUGGCAUUGCUGUGAGCUGCAGUGUAGGUCGCAGGUGUGGCUGGGGGGGGGAGGAUGGGAAAGAAGGAGGGAAGGGAGAGAGGGAGGGAGGAAGGAGGGAAGGAAGUUGGAGAGUUCUCCUGCAUAAUGACAGAUCUUCUUGCUCUGGAUGUGGCUAGGAUUGAGGAGACCCAGCACAGGCUCAGCAUGGUAUUGAAAUUCUCACUGCAUUUAGACAAGUCCUUAGAGUGACCUCAGUUUCUUACCCUGUAGCCUAAACUGUGGUCUCUGAAAUCUCUCUUCUGACUCUGAGUCCUCCCUUCCAGGCACCCUGGGAAGACAUGUGAUCUGCUUGUAGGGAAAAGUACAACUGUUUGCCAAGCCUGUAUAAGAGCUGGUCUCUAGAAAAGAUCCCAUGUUGGUGCUGAAAACAAACAUGUCUCAGGAAGCAGUGUUUCUUAAUUUACUGUUGGGAAAAGUAUUCUUUUCCCCUCAGCUUCAUCCCAUUUCUUCUGAUUCUGUUCUCAGAACACACUUGUAAUACUGCUGCUAACACUCUCUGAACACAGCCUAGGUAUCUAAAAAUAGUAGCCUUCUUUCUUCAUCAGAUAUGCUACAGUCCUGGAGGUUUAACAUGGUUUUGUUCCUUUGUAAAGAUAGAUGUUGCAAGGCAAUUUUUUUUUUAAUCGAAAGCGUUGACCCGUACCACUCUGAAAAUCUCAGACGUCACUGUCAAAAUUUUAUAGACAGUUGGUUCGUUACUGACAUAGCUGAGGAAAAUGACAGGAAAAAAAUAGUCAAAUGAGAUUAGGAUAAAAUUCCAAAUCACUCCUUGUUUAAAAGUCUUGUUCAAAUCAGCAGGGCUAAAGCUCACAUACAUUUUAUUUGGUUUUGUACUGCCUCAUAUGAAUUACUUCAUCUAGUUUUAAAUGAGUCAGAUACAGAUCCAGUGAGAAAAGACGGCACUUGAUUUUUUUUUUUAGUGUUUUUAUGAAUCUAUCUCAUAAGUUAUAAAAUAAUCAACAUAAAAUUUGGUUUUCAAAAAGUAAACACUUAUCUGUGAACAUUUUAAAAGAGCAAAUAACUCACUUUAGUAUCAAACAUAAUUAAUUGUAAGGUUGUUUUGUUUUUUGUUUUUGUCUUUUUUUCUUUUCAGAGCCUCACCUAUGGCAUACCGAGGUUCCCAGGCUAGGGGUCUAAUCAGAGCUGUUGCUGCCGGCCUACACCACAGCCACAGCAAUGCCAGAUCCAAGCCACGUCUGGGACCUACACCACAGCUUACCGUAACACAGGAUCCUUAACCCACUGAGCGAGGCCAGGGAUCGAACCUGCAACCUCAUGGUUCCCAGUCAGAUUCGUUUCCACUGCACCACAACAGGAACUCCUAAUUGUAAGCUUUUUAUCAAACUUUUUUUUUUUAAGAAAUAUAAUUCCUUGUCAUGAAAUUGAUGUCAUCACCCCUUCCGACAAAAACAUAUGUUUCUAACAUGCUUCCAUUUUACUAUAAAGAAAAUAAAUCCAAGCGUUUCCAUUUUCUCUUUUUUGCUUUUUUAUAUUAUUUUUCCUUUCAAGAAAUACAAUAUUAUUCUUCUGUUUGUGAGAGCUGUCACGUCAUUUUGUCUCUUUAGUCCUUGUGUUCACUUUCCUGAUUUUAUUUACACAUCGAAUGGUCUCAUCGGUCUUCCUGAUGGUUUAACGUUCAGGCCCAUAGCCUUUCUUCCGAAUCCAUUUCAUCAAUUUGAAAUGGAUGCUAGGAGAGAGGUUCUGGCACUGUUCACACCCCCGGGAGCCCCUGUAUUACUUCCCAUCCCCAACAAGAUGCAAUCAGGAAAGCCUUCCGGUACCGGCUUCCGCCUUUCGGUUCAUCUCUCCUGUACAAGGCUGGGGCUUCUGGUGGGUAGCAAACCUUCAAACUAAAGCUCUUAUCAAAAAUUUCUCUAGAGACUGUGAUAGCCACUUAGUUUUAAAAGCCUGAAAGAAAGCAGGCAGCUGUUUGACUGGGUCAACAUCCCUGGCCUCCCUGGCCCCUCCAGCCAUGCCCGCUAAUAAGGCCACAUGGCAGACUCCCAGCAGCUCUCAGGAAGCACUGUGAGUCUCUGUUGGUGAGAAGGGAAAGAAAAGAAGAGAGAGAUUAGGUGUGGGGCAGACUGGCAGGUGUGAGAAAGGCCAGCUGGCAACCGCACUUGAUUCUGAUAUCCAGGUACCACUCUUGAAAGAUUAUGUGUCAUGUCCUUGCUUUGGGCACUGUUAACAACCGCCCUGGCUGUGAGUGAAUAUAUGCCAGUGGGGUCUGAACAAGUUUUAGCUGGUUGUGGUGAAUAUGAACUCUUCAGAAGCUUCCUGAAAGGUUAGGGCCAGCUUGGACCAGUUAGACAGGGGUUGCCCAAGUUCUGAGUAGUCAAGUCUUGACUGAACAAGGAUAACAUGAGCAGGCUGGUCAAAACCAAAAGAAUGCCAGCCAAAUAAAGGUUUUCUGGUUUAAAUAAAAAUGUCGUUUCUACAAAUUAAGUAAGGAUAUUUUCUGAUGAUUUUCUUUGAUUUUGAUAGUACUUCCUGAGUUCUAAUUAGAUGCCUGGUAGCACAUAAAAAAUUUUUGAAAAUACUUGCCGUCAUUUGUUGUAAAACAUACGUUCUUUGCAUUGAAUUUUUUUAUGAUCUGGAUUCAACUUCGAUCUCUUCUUUAGUAAGAAAUUCCUUCUUUUUUCCUAUUUUUUGAGGUUUCAUUGAAGUAUAAUUGAUUGAUAAUGUUGUGAUAAUUUGUGGUAUAUAACAGUAAUUCAGUGAUACAUAUACUCACAUCCAUUCUUUUUUCAGAUUCUUUUCCCAUAUAGAUUGUCAUAGAAUAUUGAGUUCCCUAUGCUAUAGAGUAGUAAGCAAUUUUUUAAUUAAGAAAUGCCAAAAAAUGAAAAAUGAUGUUAAUAUGUGUAUACUGUAGUCUUGAAACUUUUGUUUUGCACCACUCAACUGGCUGAUUAACUUGCUGUUUUGUAAACUCUCAUAUACGUCGAAGACACUAUAAAUAAUCAUGACAAUAUCUAAUAAAAAUAGAUGUCAUAUCACAAAACCACAGCAGAGUUUAAACUUAGUUUAGCAAAAUCAACAACUUGCUCACAAGACUGAUGAACUGCAGUUACACGUUUUUAACAAAAGCAUUUCUAGCAACCAGAUAAGCAAGUGUCUUCUUGACGCAGAUGGAUGAUGGCGCAUGUGCCAGAAGCCAGUGGAAAAUAGGAGCUGUCAUCUAGAAAAUGACAGAGCCAUUUCGAGUCCCUCUAGAUUAGCACUCCAUCUUCAGCUCAGCAGAUAUACUGUUAGCUGAAGGUCUAUUGCCAGCAAAUCAGAAGCAAGAGGGCAGAGCCCUAUCCUUCUGAGAUGACUAGAAUCAUCAGCGACUCAGAGGCAGAGAAUCCCAGCUCCCAGUUAGGUUUGUGGUAUAAGAAACAAAACAAAUAGGAGUUCCCUUCGUGGCUCAGUGGUUAACGAACCCGACCAGCAUCCAUGAGGACCUGGGCUCGAUCCCUGGCCUCACUCAAUGGGUUAAGGAUCCAGCAUUGCUGUGAGCUGUAGUGUAGGUUGCAGAUGGGGCUCGGAUCCUGCGUUGCUGUGGCUGUGGUGUAGGCCGGCAGCUGCAGCUCCAAUUUGACUGCUAGCCUGGGAACCUCCAUAUACUGCAGGUACAGCCA
Molecule: long non-coding RNA, 4419 nt
Filed under: Sus scrofa (pig)
Lineage: Eukaryota; Metazoa; Chordata; Mammalia; Artiodactyla; Suidae
Description: lncRNA (ENSSSCG00000058379.1)
Source: RNAcentral